GAAGGGGUAUGAUUUAAAACCGCCUUCAUUGUUACCCUAAGCAUUACAGGAGGAGGGGAAAACCUAGGCAAGAAAUAUAAAAACAACAUUUGAGAAGGGGGAGUGGUAAGGAAAAACCUGCAGCUUUUGGAGAAGACAGCCUGUGCAUAGCACAUGGAGGGCCAAGAUUUCAGGGGUUUUCAGAAAGUAAAAAAAUAUUUUUUACUUAAUCCUUUGUUUAUAUACCUAAGUUGGAAAUUAAGCCGAAAAGCAGGAGAUGAAACCUCCAAGAACAUAUGUAAAAUAUCAGCGUGGGUUGGCCUCACCAAAACAAGCUCACUGCUUUGAAGACACCCUUAUACCAGCCCUUUAUUAUGUCAUCAGGGAAAACUGUAUCAAGGGGGAGCAGUAUGGGACAGAUAUACAUUCUUUUAAUGUUAGUUGAAUUUUUCAGAGUAAAAUACAACUAAAAAGUCACAGCAAUGGAGAAAGUGCUGCCUCGUUUUAAAACUGCACGUGUGCUUUGCCCCUUGAGAACACCUUUGGUUAGACUUUUUGUUCAAUACACCAUUUCAUUAAAUAUGAUUCAAUUCCCCGUCUCAAUUCCCAGUCUGAGGCCUUAACUGACAUACUCAAUAACUUAUAAUUCUUAUAAGUUAGAGUCAACUAUAAGUCCUCCCUCUGGUUUCUCUUCUGUGCUUUGUAAAUAUGUACAUCCUUUUCAGGAUCAUAGUGAACCUUACUCACAGUAAAUUGCCUCUCCAGCAUCGCUAAGAAGCUGUUGUCCCGUUCAUAGCGAAUUCGGCAAGCUAAAAGAAUCACGGAGCGGUUGCUACUGAGAUGUUCCAAAGUUUGAAGAAGAUCUGCGAAUGUUUCUUCUAAAUAUAUGAUAUCAGCUCCAAGUAUCAAGUCAAAUUCUCCAGUCACAUGAGCACCUAGAAUGUGGGACAGAGAAAGAGUCAUGUGCACAACAAUACAACUAACAGUUGUUUACCAUGGACCAAUAUGGCGAGAGAAGACUGAACCGAGUUAUCCUUAAGGUGAAGCAACCACGCAAGGUCAGCCCGGAAAUACCUCAUCUGCAUUGCAGUACCAAUGGGAAAGAACAAGUCUGUAUGCUGUUGGGAAUGGUCAGGUAGGAAGAGGGAAGAAGAGAGACAACACAGGAGAGGGAAGGUGGACCGCAGUGUCACUGAGGAGGUGACAGGGGGUUGGCCUGUGCAGGGCAGACGCCAACGUGCGUGACAGAGCCCGCAGACCCAGCCCCAGGGAGAUGGGAGGUUACAGAAGUCCUCUUCCGGCUGCGUCAAUCUCCUCAGAGAAACAAGAAGCGUCACCAGCUGGGAGCAGGUUAGCAGAGAGGAGAGGAAGCAGAGUGGCCGCUCAAUGGCAUCGACUGCCCCUCACGUGACGAUGGACGACGUGAGGCAAGACGGAGCAGCAGCCGCACUGGGGGCACCGGGCAACUCGGGCCUGGAGCCCCAGCCUCCGCCGGGCGCACAGCCUCAUGGGGAGAAGCGAGGGCGGCAGAGAGCCCAGGGCCCAGGAAACGACCCCCCGGGAGGCCCGCGCUGCAACACGUAGUUGGUGACAGACUCAUGGGAGCUGACCCCACACGACAUGUCCCGCCGCCACUCAAUGGGUCACAGGAAAAGACACGUAACACCUACCAUCACUUUCGUUUGUACUUCUGUGAGCAACACCUGACAUCAUUCGAACGUGUGAGCGCAGGCUACAUACCGGAGACGCAGAGAUGAGCAAACCAUCCCUGGCUGCCAGGAGCUCGGUCUCAUGAGGUCUCACGAGGGACAGAGACACAGAAACACAAACACAACUGUGAUGCAACGAGAACGUGCAGAGUAAGCUAUGGAGACCUGGGUUGCCAGGAAAUGACGUGGACCCAAAGGACACUCUUUGAGAGGGGCAGAGGUCAGAGAAAGAAUUCAGAAGGAAGGGAAAUCUGAGCUUACACUGGGAAGAUGUGGCAUCAAGCAGGGGAAGGGGGUGAGGAAGGGCCAUCGGGGCAGAAGGGACAGGCCAGAAGUCGCGGGUGAGUCCCUGGAACCGCAAACUGCGGCCGCUCUGACACAGGAGCCUGAAGAGCCAGGCAAGAGGGGGUCAGAGCCUCAGAGUCUUAAGAGUCUUAGGCGUGGCGAGGCACAGGGUUUUUUCUUUUUUUUAAAGUAGACUCCAUACCCACUGUAGGGCUUGAACAAAUGACCCUGAGAUCAAGAGUCACAUGCUCCACCCGCUGAGCCAGCCAGGCCACCCCCCCCCCCAGGCACGGGGUGUUUAAGUCCAGGCCACCCCAGCACUUCUGCACGGAGGACGGCCCGCUCUGGCCAACGGGGUCUACCCAGACUAGGUCUGAGAACACAAAGCAGAGGCAGAGAGGUCAGGCGGUGGGAUGCACGUACUUGCAUCCAUGAUGAGGGAAGAGACAGAUGCUGAGAGCUGGUGGGGAGGGGUAUGCAAAGGGAGAAAUGCAAUAAGAAAUCCUUAGGAGAAGGUCAACAGGGCUCAGGGAGGGAGCUGGGGCUGGGGGGCAGGUCAAGCAGCUGGCUUGAGUGAGGACUCGGAUGGCCACACUCACUCACAAAAAAGAAGGAUGAGUUUGCAGAGGUAAGAAGAGUUCAAGUGUAAACACAUGUACUGUUUGAGGUGCUGAGAAAUCGGCAGGUAGAGACACUCAGCCUUCAGUUAAACAUACAAGUGAAAAGCUUGGUACAGACAAAGUACAGAAAACUAAGACGGCUCUUUCCUGAUCCGAGCGUUAUAGUUUAAGGCUGUUCCCCAGACUUGGUUGGCAUCAAAUGACCUCGGAAGCUUUUAAAAUCCAGAUUCCCUGACCCCACCCCAACUUCUAGAACCCUAUCUUUAAAAUGAGAUACUUUUUUCUAAGAAUAAUUUCCACACAGUAUGAAGAGAUUUUCAAACUAAGAACCAGAGCUUGAGAGUCAGACUGGAUUCCAACUCUAACUCCACAUCCAUGAGCUUUGUGACCUCAGGCAAGUUACCUAACCUCUAUUAAGCCUUCAUUUCACCAUUGAAGACAGCUCCAAGUGGACUUACCAACCACACAGAGGAACAGUGAGGACAGACUAAAGACCCAGGAAGUGGGAACUGCCCAGUAAUAAACAGGUGUUAUUUUCUUUUAACAUCUCAUCACCCAUUAUUAAGGUUCUAUAGAGAACUCCCUGGUUUUUUUUUUUUUCCCAUCUUUUCCUCCCUCCCCCCUCAGAAUUAGAAUGGAAGCUUCCUGAGGAGGCAGGUAUGCACAGCACCUAAAACCAGACCAGAUAUAUGGUGGGUGUUCCCUGAAUUCGGGAAUAAAUGACUCAGGUUACAAAAAGUGAAAAUGCUGUAAAAAGAGAACGAUCAACCUCUGACAUUUCAAGAUCACUACCUAUUCUAGUUCUCACUGCCUUCUUCCUAAAGAGACUAACUUUUCCUUUACCCUCAGAUUUCAACCUCAAAACUAAUGCCUAAUACUUUGCAAACACAACAAAUAACAGGUAUGCAAAUCACAUAGCAGCACAGAGGUACACACGUAACUUGCAUGUAUGUACAUACAUAUACAUAUGAGUACACGUACAUAUACACACGCCUCUAUAACCAUGAUCACAACUAUGAUUAA
Long non-coding RNA from Canis lupus familiaris (dog), 3616 nucleotides. RefSeq lists it as uncharacterized. The transcript has 4 exons. NCBI's taxonomy places the organism in Eukaryota, Metazoa, Chordata, Mammalia, Carnivora, Canidae. The record is from RefSeq and is a predicted model, not a curated record.